Molecule: ribosomal RNA, 496 nt
Filed under: uncultured bacterium
Lineage: Bacteria
Description: partial 16S ribosomal RNA
Rfam family: Bacterial small subunit ribosomal RNA
Source: RNAcentral
AUGAACGCUGGCGGCGUGCCUAAUACAUGCAAGUCGAGCGAACGGACGAGAAGCUUGCUUCUCUGAUGUUAGCGGCGGACGGGUGAGUAACACGUGGAUAACCUACCUAUAAGACUGGGAUAACUUCGGGAAACCGGAGCUAAUACCGGAUAAUAUUUUGAGCCGCAUGGUUCAAAAGUGAAAGACGGUCUUGCUGUCACUUAUAGAUGGAUCCGCGCUGCAUUAGCUAGUUGGUAAGGUAACGGCUUACCAAGGCAACGAUGCAUAGCCGACCUGAGAGGGUGAUCGGCCACACUGGAACUGAGACACGGUCCAGACUCCUACGGGAGGCAGCAGUAGGGAAUCUUCCGCAAUGGGCGAAAGCCUGACGGAGCAACGCCGCGUGAGUGAUGAAGGUCUUCGGAUCGUAAAACUCUGUUAUUAGGGAAGAACAUAUGUGUAAGUAACUGUGCACAUCUUGACGGUACCUAGUCAGAAAGCCACGGCUAACUACGUG